GAGUUUGUCAAGCCAGAAAGCAACCCUCCAGCAUCCAGAUUACCCUUCGAAGACGGCAAAGAAAAAGAGAGCUCUGAAAUCACUCAACGCAUAGGAGCUGGUUCUAUAAUUUUUAGACUUUAAUUAAAUCAAUUAUUAAAGCCUUUCUUAAUGCCUUGCUGAGAUAUUCAGGCUCGGGCUGCCUCAGGAGAGAGGAAGUGGUUGAAUGCACAGAGGUGGCUAAUAAGAGGGGACACAACAUUCCAGAAUCCCACAGGAAAGAUUCUACCAUCUCCACAGCUGCCCUCGCCGCAGUCCUCCCUACUGUUGGAGAAGAUGCCCCCAAUAACUGGGGUGUCUCGAGCUAGUGGACACAUCAUGGAGCUGGAGUGGACUGUGUCAUUAAGAUCCUCCCAUGGCCUCAUCCUGUGCUGGCCAUCGCUAUGCGUCCAGUAAGGAGGUAGAACACUGGAUGAGCCACAGAAAGCACACAGGACUUUGCUGUGGAAGAGUCAAAGAUCCACGUGGGAGCAUCCCGUAGGGGACUUGCGUUUCAGAUCAGAUGAUGCUUUUCAUGUAUGUCCAGCAGCAAGAGAGUCCUUCACUGGUGAAAAAUCACGGGCCUCAGAGCAGAUUUUAGUUCAUCUUUCAUUUCAAAGCACUCCUUAGAUAUCUGCAAAUUAAAUCCCCUAAUUUGGUGAGGACGCCCAGCUUCCCAAAUAACAAGGCUUUUCCUUUGAUUCUAACCAAGUGAGCCGGCCCUGCAAAAGCCGGGGUGCGUGUUCUGGCUCCAGGCUUCUGAGCAGCCUUUCUCCCCACGCUGCAGCUUUUCAGUUAGGAAGUCAGAGAGAAGGAAAGAGAACUAUUUCCAAUUCAAUCACGAGCAUGUCUACGCACCACUGAAGACAGACCUUUGUCCUGUUGCUUUCCAAACUUUAAAUGUGAAUUUUUCUUCUUAUGAUGACUGGUGUACUCUGUUAUUCUGAAAAAAGAAAAAGCCAUAAGCACCCUGAAGUGAGGCUUUCACCUGAUACUAAUUUUCUUCUUCGUUAUAAGGCUAUUGUUUGUUUGAACAAAGAAAUAGGAGCCAUUGGUGGCUGUUUACAUUAUAGGAAUGAGGGCAGCGAUGGGGGAGGAGGAGGGGACCUUUUCAUUAAUGAGCUGGGGACAUUGAUUAUGGGGACACACUAAAGACUAAAAGGGACACCUAUAUUUCUACAUUCUUUCCAUGCAAGUAAUAUAUGAUCUUUAUCAUCUGUUAAACACCACUCACAUAUUUCAGGUGGCUGUAGGUUGAUUGCUAACAUUUAGAUUAAACAAGCAGUUAGAGUCUGAUGUUUAAAAUAAAAUAAGACAAGCCCUUGAACUCUGGGACCAGGUAUGCCCCGUUAUCUGGUCGUACCUGAACGAGCCUGUGUUGAGCACCCAAGGCCGCUGGGCACGUCUGUGGAUGUGGGGUUUCAGGCUCAACCCACUCGAGGAGCAGGGGGCUUUUGGGAGGUGGCAGCCUCCUAUACAAAACGAGCUGCCAGUAAAUAUUUAUAGAACAAAGAAAUGCAUGAAUUUCUCCUGAAUUAAACAUGAUACAUUUGUACAGAGCAUA
Molecule: long non-coding RNA, 1582 nt
Organism: Homo sapiens (human)
Lineage: Eukaryota; Metazoa; Chordata; Mammalia; Primates; Hominidae
Product: long intergenic non-protein coding RNA 1927
Source: Ensembl